UACGAAGGGGGCUAGCGUUGCUCGGAAUCACUGGGCGUAAAGGGUGCGUAGGCGGAUCGAUCAGUCAGGGGUGAAAUCCCAGGGCUCAACCCUGGAACUGCCUUUGAUACUGUCGAUCUGGAGUAUGGAAGAGGUGAGUGGAAUUCCGAGUGUAGAGGUGAAAUUCGUAGAUAUUCGGAGGAACACCAGUGGCGAAGGCGGCUCACUGGUCCAUUACUGACGCUGAGGUGCGAAAGCGUGGGGAGCAAACAGG
Molecule: ribosomal RNA, 253 nt
Filed under: uncultured bacterium
Lineage: Bacteria
Description: partial 16S ribosomal RNA
Rfam family: Bacterial small subunit ribosomal RNA
Source: RNAcentral